AUUCUAGGGUUAUUGUAAGGUUCAUUUUUUUUGGGUCAAUGUGUAGUUGACUUUCUUUGCUAGUUCGAUUCAAAAACCAUCUGCCCCUGGUUCCAUUUUGCAGUUCCGAUCAGACAUGAUCGGUGAACAGAUGGAUAACCCCGGCAGCAAGUACGACGUGUUCUUGAGCUUUAGAGGUGAAAUACGCAAGGGCUUCACGGACCACUUCUACCUUAGAUUAAAAGACUACGAGUUCAAUGUCUUUCUGGACGAGGACGAAUUGCCUAGAGGGGAUCCUAUAACAGAAAAACUGAAGCAAGCAAUCAAAGAGUCCAGGCUUGCUGUCAUCAUGUUCUCAAAGGGGUAUGCGGAAUCGAGAUGGUGUCUUGAGGAGCUGGUGGAGAUCAUGGAGUGCAGAAGAACUAAGGGUCAAUUUGUUUUCCCGAUUUUCUACGAUGUUGAUCCUUCAGAUGUCAGGCAUCAGACUGGUAGUUUUGCAACCGCGUUUCAGAACCAUGAACAAAGGUUUACGGAAGAAAAGGUCCGGGAGUGGAGAAAGGCUCUUACUGCAGCUGCAGAGUUGAGCGGCGAGCAUUUUCAAGUGAAUAACGGGCGUGAAGCAAGGUUUAUCAGGAAAGUUGUUGAGCAGAUCGCUAUAAAACUGCAGAAUGGAUGCUUAAAUGUAGCCACAAAUCCAGUUGGAAUAGAUUCUCGCCUGCAAAAAUUCAGUAAUUAUUUAGAUGUUGGAGGAUCAAAUGUUGUUCGCAUAAUUGGAAUUUGGGGGAUGGGCGGACUAGGUAAGUCAACAAUUGCGAAAGCCAUUUUCAACACAUACCAGCACAGGUUUGAUGGUGCAUGUUUUCUUGAAAAUGUGGGAAAUGAGAAAUUGGUUGAUUUGCAAAACAUGCUUCUGUCUAAAAUCUUGAGAUCGGCCAACAUAAAUGUGAGUACAGUCGAUGAAGGGACGGAGAAGAUAAAAACAAGACUUGGCAACGUAAGGGUUCUUGUCAUAAUUGAUGAUGUAGACAGUGUGGCACAGAUAAAUGCAUUAGCUAUAAAACGUGACUCAUUUGGUCCAGGAAGUAGAAUUGUUAUAACAACAAGAGAUCAAAAUUUGCUAAAGACACCUGAAGUGGUGGAUGAGGCAUGUUCUCUACCAACAAUGGAUAACGAGGAGGCUCUUGAGCUCCUUAGUUGGCAUGCGUUUGGAAAAAGUUCUCCUAAUGAAGGAUAUCGCAAGGUCUCAAGAGAAGCUGUUGAUUAUUGUGGGGGUUUACCACUUGCACUUGAAGCUGUAGGUUCUUACCUAUGCACAAAAACCACAAGUGAAUGGACAGAUGCAUUGAAAAAAUGGAAAAGAGUGCAGCCUAGCAUAACUCACAAAAUUUUUAAGGUAAGUUAUGACGGGCUUACUGAUGACAAGGUGAAGGAUAUAUUCCUUGACAUAUCCUGUUUCUUUAUUGGAAUGAACAAGCACCAUGUCCUGGCAAUAUUGGAUGGGUGUGACAGUAAUCCAGCAAUAGGUAUUAAGGAACUCGAGGAGCGAUGCCUUGUAACUGUUGAUCCAGAAGGCAAUCUGAUGAUGCAUUGUUUGAUUCGAGACACGGGCAGAGAAAUCGUACGUGCUAAAUCCCCUAAGAAGCUUGAAAGUCGCUGUAGAUUGUGGCAUCAUGAGGAUGUAAAACACGUAUUGGCGAAAAAAUGUGAAAAGAAAAAAAUUGAAGGAAUCGCAUUAGAUUUUUUAGAACCUGACAAGCUUAGCGUCAGUACAGAAGCAUUCAGAAAGAUGCUGAACCUGAGAUUACUCAAAAUAAGAGGUGUAAAGUUCACUGGAGACUGCAAACAUCUUCCUGAAGAGUUAAGAUGGUUAAGUUUGUCUGACUUUCCUCUGCAGGCCAUACCAGAAGAUUUUAAUCAACCAAACGUAGUUGACAUCGACCUGAGUUAUAGCAAUAUAAAAGUCUGGAAUGACAACGUGUCACUUGAAAAGUUGAAGUUUCUCAAUCUUGGUUAUUGUGAUCACCUGAAACAAUCACCAGACUUUUCAAGAAUCCCAAAUAUUGAGAUAUUGAUACUCAAAGCCUGUAAGCGUUUGUCCAAGAUUCACCACUCUGUAGUAAAAUUGAAGAACCUUAAGUAUUUGUCUGUUGCAAAAUGCAAAAAUCUUCAGGAAAUCCCAGAUUUACCAACAAAUUUGGAAAUCCUGAAAGCGAAUGAGUGCAUUGCAUUGAAAAAGAUGCCAGAUUUUUCAGAAAUGUUGAGUAUGGUAGAACUGCAUCUGAAUCACUCCCCCAAACUCACUAAGAUUCUAGGCUUGCAUAAGUCGUUAAACACCAUGAGAAGGAUUCAUAUGGAAGGGUGCACCAAUCUCACUGCUGCUUUUAGAAAAGCAAUCCUACAGGGAUGGGGUGUGAGCAGAAAUGGUGAUCUUUUUUGUCCAGGAAAUGAUCUUCUAUCAGGGUUUACAUGCGUUGACCCUAAGGAUGAAAUAGUUUCUUCUCUUUUUAUCCCCGGAAAUGAUCUUCCAUCAGGGUUUACAUACUUUGACCCUAAGGAAGAAAUAGUUGUGCCGCAAUGUUUUGGUGAUGAUGCAAAAGCGUUGACUCUGUGCAUCGUUUAUUCUUGCGACGACUCCCAAUCUAGUGAUUCACUUUGCAUCCGUGUUGAAAAUCGUACCAAAGAAACUGAGAUUUCAAGCUGUCCAAUGUAUGCCACCGUACUAAAUAGCCAUGAAAGUUAUAUUUGGCUGGGACGUUUAUCAAACAAUACGCUCAAUGUGAACGGUGGGGACAAGAUAAAUGUUGGUGCGCACUUUGUAGGACACGGGAGUACAGACGAUAUUCAUAUCAGGGUGCAGAAAAUAGGGGUCUACCUGGAGCAGGAAAAUGUAGUCGAUGAAUUUUCCAAUCCUAUGACACUUUCCAGUGAGUAUGACAAGGAGGCCAAUCUUAUGCAAGACAAGGUGAGACUCUUAUCUGAGGAGAAUCUGUCUCGUAAAAGACAGAGGUAUGACAAGGAUGUCAAUCUUAUGCAAGACCAGGUGAGACUCUCAUCUGAGGAGAAUGGAUCUCGUAAAAGGCGGGGCUAUGACAAGGAUGUCAAUCUUACGCAAGACGAGGUGAGACUCUCAUAUGAGGAGAAUCGAUCUCGUAAAAGACUGAGGUCUAACGGUGUUGAAAGAAAUGCACAAGAAAUUGAUGCCCCAAUAAACAGCUGCAUGGACUAGGAGAAAAAAAAGGUACCUUCUUUCUAGUAGAGGCUAGAAUGUGCUACUAGACGCUAGAUAUCGAUUAGGACGUAAAGAGAAUAAAGAGAACACCGGUGGUGACGAGUGGGCUUGGCAAUGAGGCGUUCAUCAUUUGGAUUUAGGGUGAUGGUUCAUUUACUGAGUUUUAUCUUUAUUUGUAAUAGUUGUAUGAUCACACUUUUGAUUAUGCGUAACACUGCACUUUUAUGUGUUUAUAGUUGUGUGAAACUUCUAGCUGCUCUAAUGUGAUGUGAUAAUAACGAGAGUUAAUCCCGAGAUAAUUUGUGUCCCCAAGUGGGGAGGUUGAUAAGUGAACUUGUAGAAGCUUUGGAUUUCUUAGUGAUAAAUGUUUUUGUUCAAA
Molecule: RNA transcript, 3587 nt
Organism: Pyrus x bretschneideri (Chinese white pear)
Lineage: Eukaryota; Viridiplantae; Streptophyta; Magnoliopsida; Rosales; Rosaceae
Gene name: disease resistance protein RPV1
Exons: 7
Source: RefSeq, a predicted model, not a curated record